Molecule: ribosomal RNA, 460 nt
Filed under: uncultured bacterium
Lineage: Bacteria
Description: partial 16S ribosomal RNA
Rfam family: Bacterial small subunit ribosomal RNA
Source: RNAcentral
CCUACGGGUGGCAGCAGUGAGGAAUAUUGGUCAAUGGGCGCGAGUCUGAACCAGCCAAGUAGCGUGAAGGAUGACUGCCCUAUGGGUUGUAAACUUCUUUUAUAUGGGAAUAAAGUGAGGCACGUGUGCCUUUUUGUAUGUACUUUAUGAAUAAGGAUCGGCUAACUCCGUGCCAGCAGCCGCGGUAAUACGGAGGAUCCGAGCGUUAUCCGGAUUUAUUGGGUUUAAAGGGAGCGUAGGUGGGUUGUUAAGUCAGUUGUGAAAGUUUGCGGCUCAACCGUAAAAUUGCAGUUGAUACUGGCAGUCUUGAGUACAGUUGAGGUAGGCGGAAUUCGUGGUGUAGCGGUGAAAUGCUUAGAUAUCACGAAGAACUCCGAUUGCGAAGGCAGCUUACUAAACUGCAACUGACACUGAUGCUCGAAAGUGUGGGUAUCAAACAGGAUUAGAUACCCGUGUAGUC